RNAcentral lists this ribosomal RNA (506 nucleotides) under uncultured bacterium. Its description in RNAcentral is "partial 16S ribosomal RNA". It matches the Rfam family "Bacterial small subunit ribosomal RNA", at positions 29 to 523 of the family's 1533-position model. The record is from RNAcentral.
AUUGAACGCUGGCGGCAGGCCUAACACAUGCAAGUCGGACGGUAGCACAGAGGAGCUUGCUCCUCGGGUGACGAGUGGCGGACGGGUGAGUAAUGUCUGGGAAACUGCCCGAUGGAGGGGGAUAACUACUGGAAACGGUAGCUGAUACCGCAUAACGUCGCAAGACCAAAGUGGGGGACCUUCGGGCCUCACACCAUCGGAUGUGCCCAGAUGGGAUUAGCUGGUAGGCGGGGUAACGGCCCACCUAGGCGACGAUCCCUAGCUGGUCUGAGAGGAUGACCAGCCACACUGGAACUGAGACACGGUCCAGACUCCUACGGGAGGCAGCAGUGGGGAAUAUUGCACAAUGGGCGCAAGCCUGAUGCAGCCAUGCCGCGUGUAUGAAGAAGGCCUUCGGGUUGUAAAGUACUUUCAGCGGGGAGGAAGGUGCUGAGGUUAAUAAGCUCAGCAAUUGACGUUACCCGCAGAAGAAGCACCGGCUAACUCCGUGCCAGCCGCCGCCGUAA